CUUACUGAAGACCCUUUUUUUUUUUUUUUUGCUGAAAUGCGUCUUUGUCUUUGCAAAAGGGUUCAUUGGUUCCUGCCUUUUUUAUUUUAUAUUGAGUCAGUUAUUUUCAAGCUGCCUCCUGAUUAUUUUCACCUGUAAAAGCCCUGAAUCAUCAGUCUUGUUGAACCGCAUGCAGACUAACAACACAAACAGGUCAACUUUAUACUGUAAGCAUAUUUCCAUUUAAAGCAGAGUUUCGUAUGUGAGGUAAUCUUGCUGGGAGUGAAAGCAGUUCAUGGGACCGCUUGAUAUAAGAAACACAUCCUGUUUUUAAUGGUGAUGUGGAUCAUAGCUCUGAAAAGUUGGAUAGCUGUUGGCCAUUGGCUUGAUAACAGUGGUUUAUGAAUAGGUUAUUCAGGUAUUUACUGACAAAACAGGUAGCUUGAGCAGAAUCAUAUUGAAACUUCUGUCAAAUCAUGUUUACAUACAGUAUGCAUGCAAACUCCAGGCUAAUGUAAAUUUUUUUGUCUCCAUGUCUUAUCCUUUCACCCAUGACCGACAGACCCAAAUCUUGUUCGGUCUGAUGCUCAACCUUGUACAGUCCACCAAAGGAUGACCACUGCAAAGUGAUGGGAAUCUGUGGUAAUCACAGCCUGUGUCUCAAGAUCAACAUGACAAUAGCAGAUCAUCUCUUAUCUUACUCUUAUCUGACUAAAUGUUCAACGUCACUGCCACAAAACAAAGAACGUUGGAUGGAGUAUUGGAGUAUGUACUGUACAAUGAUCCAACAAACAAAAUAUACUUUUUGUUAGCUUCUACAGACAUUGACACAAUCCUAUUGACUUUUAUUCUUACAGUUAGUAAUGUAUUAUUAACAUCCCAUUCAUUUGUAUUCAAUGCCAUCUAUCUGUUUGUGCUAAAGUGUUUACAUCUGAAUGUAAUGUCAUAAUAUUAUAAUAUUCAGUAUUGAUCUUUUUUUUAAUACACGUAUUUAUUGUUGUUGCUGUAUGACACCUCAUGUAAUGAAAAAGUGAAAAUAAAUUUUCUGAUGUCUUGAAGUUCUGUUUUUAAACUGUUAAACCUUAUAAAGUGCUAUAAAUAAAAAACAAAACAAAACAA
This is a long non-coding RNA of Paramisgurnus dabryanus, 1098 nucleotides long. RefSeq lists it as uncharacterized. The record is from RefSeq and is a predicted model, not a curated record. NCBI's taxonomy places the organism in Eukaryota, Metazoa, Chordata, Actinopteri, Cypriniformes, Cobitidae.